RNAcentral lists this ribosomal RNA (274 nucleotides) under uncultured bacterium. Its description in RNAcentral is "partial 16S ribosomal RNA". It matches the Rfam family "Archaeal small subunit ribosomal RNA", at positions 473 to 747 of the family's 1478-position model. The record is from RNAcentral.
AAACCAGCACCUCAAGUGGUCAGGAGGAUUAUUGGGCCUAAAGCAUCCGUAGCCUGUUCUAUAAGUUUCCGGUUAAAUCCAUUAGCUCAACUAAUGGGCCGCCGAAAAUACUGUAGAACUAGGGAGUGGGAGAGGUAGACGGUAUUCGGUAGGAAGGGGUAAAAUCCUUUGAUCUAUUGAGGACCACCUGUGGCGAAGGCGGUCUACCAGAACACGUUCGACGGUGAGGGAUGAAAGCUGGGGGAGCAAACCGGAUUAGGAACCCGAGUAGUCC